AUAAGUCUGCUUGUUUACAAUGUAAUAAGGCCUCAUCACAUCACUACGAGUUUUGUUGCCUUGUUCUGAAUCCAGGAAAUUGAGUCCAUUUUGUGCUGUAAAUUGGAGGUUUUACAAGUUACUGUCUAUAUUUUAGUUGUAUUGUGGUUUGAAAUGCACUCAUCAACCCUGAAAUAGAAAAAUAGCAUUGCAGUUCCCCUUUAAAUAACUAAUUUUUCCAUGCAAUGAUUGCACUUAAUCCUGUGCUAAAGAUUUAAGCCUCAUCUUUUUUUUGGGGGGGGGUAAAUCCAGUGUAUCUCAUGAUGUUUGUAACAAUUUCAUCUGAUCUGACAUACAUAAAACUACCUCCUGUGUGGAUGGAUAUUUCCUUUCGGCACUGGGAAAUCACUUUUUUACAACGUGAAACAGCAGGCACGAGUUCAAGCUAGGCCUCAUCUAAACAGCAGUUUUGUUUUUGGAAAUGUCGUGAGUACAUACAGUAUUCGUCAGCCUCUGGAGCGCCGAACAGAUCUUUAAAUCCCAAGCCUGAUGAUAAUGUUGUAAUAACUUUUCACUUUUUUUCCCACUUUAUGAGGUGUGCAUGACCUCUCAGUGUACCCAAUUGCAAAAGUGCUUCUGGUUAGUCCGUUAAUCCGUUAAUGACACUACUCACAGAAGGGUUUCUUGCUUAGUUUGGUGGCAAGAGGGUAAUUUUUCAAUAAAGCUGAACGUGUCCUGCUGUCUUUCUUUUAAUUAGGGUAUUAUAGCCUAAGGUUGCCGGAGAAUGAGGUAUUGCUAUUUACACAAUAUGGGUCAGAAAAGAUCAGUCUGUUACAAUGUGAUCCAUGUUCAAAAACCCUAGACGAUCUAGGCAGUUACCACUGUCUUGUAGGCGAGCAUGUAAGCGAGGUGUGCAUCCUCUUCUUACUGUUAUAAAGAAUGUAGAAUGUACUGCUUUUUCCUAAGCGGGAAGUUUCUUCUGUGUUGGUGCUCAGCUCCUUUCUCUGCAGUGUUUCAUGGCUGAAAACACAGUUUUUGCUGGCCAUUCAGUUUUUUUUAAAUUCUAGUUUACGUCAAUCACCUGGAGCGUGCCCAUAGAUACAGCGUGUAUAGUUUUCAGCUGCCCAACAGCAAUUGCAGGUCCAGAGGCCUGUCGUGACUACAUCUGCACAUUUUUGCCACUGGAUGGCGGUAUGGCCCUGAUAACAGGACUUGUGCUCCUCUUCCUAUCAGUAAGAACUACAGCUGUACUGUAAACCUUUAUACUAUUUAAAACUACUUUAAAACCUCUGACCUGUUGAGAAAGUGAGGAGGUUUCCCAACAACAUGAGGACAUUUGGCUCAUUUAGCCCACUUAGGUCACAGUAGCUAAUUGAUCCAAGGACCUCAUCCAGCCAUUUUUUGAAAGAACUUGGGACCUGGCUUUGGCACCAUGACUUUAUGCGACACUCCCACAACACUUUGUGUAUAGGAUUCGCCGUUUACAUGCAUUAACAAGUAUUUUUCAUAGCUAAUACUGUCCUCUAGUUUGGGUUUCUACAGCUGUUCUGUUCUGAAGAAGUGCACUGCUUUUGUCUUUGUCAUUGCCUUAGAGGGUUUUAAAUGCUUGGCUCAGGUCCCCUUGUAAUCCUGUCUGUUAAAGACUGAAAAGGCUUGUUUUCUUCAGCAAGGCAGUGUAGGAUGUUAAACCCAGUAAUGUAUCUGCCAACUUUUCUCUGGAAUGAUUCCUCUCUCAGCACGUUUGGGUUGUGUUCAGUGCUUGGACUUGGACCUAGAGCCCCUGCACCACAAACAAAAAAAAAUCAGCAUACCUGUAACUGCCUUUCUGUAGGGGCACCACCACUGUGCUCUUAAAGGGUUAAUUCCCACCUCCUGUGCUUCCUCCUUGCCAAGCACAUCACAACAUGAAGGGAGGCCUUUCUUUGGAUAAAGAGCGGUAUCUGUACAAGUUACCCAGCCAUCAUGGUGAAGUUGAACCGCUGGCCGCUUUCGAGAAAUAGCUGGAUGAGAUCCUUUGAUCAACGAGCUUCUCAUUGACAACAGGUUACAUGGUCCAAAUGUCCUCCUCUUGUCUGUGACCUUAUGUUCUUCAGUGGCUCCAAUGGGGUUCAUUAGAGUACUGGAUCCUCAACAUACAGUACACAGGCCAGGGAAGAAUGAACACCCCACCAUUUAAGUCAGGAAACUUUGAUCCAAGGGAUCAUGAUGCAAGUCAGUGGUGGGUGGUUGUAUCAUUCUACCCAAACUCUAAAUUCCCUCAUUGGUCGAGUUAUUGACCAUAACUGGACCAGUUUCACACUUUUCCCCUGUUAGAUAUGUAAUACACCUGUAAUAGCCGAUCGAUAGAGGGCACCCCUGAGAACUUUAAACUUUAAACAAUCGCUAACUGCAUAUCUACAGAAGUGCAGUACAAAGCGUGUUGACGCUUUUUCAAAAUGUUUUGGGUUUUAGUAUACAGUCUCAAGUUAAAAAUGAUUUGCUGACUUUGUAUGCUGUUCAUUGUUAUAAAAAAAAAUAGAACAAGCUGCAGUACCAACAGUUUUGUCAAAGAUCGAUAUUGACUGUUCUAGUUCUGUAAUGCCUUGAGGCGGGUUACAGUACAGGUAUACAACAAUGUUUGGUUACGGCUGUGUCAUCUUGUUAACGUGAGUGAGACAACGAAAGAGAGGAACAUACUACAGUUCUUGGCAGCGUCUACAACAUUUUGUACAUGUUGCCAUUUUGAACACUUGACGGAAAGGCUUUGGCUGCGUAAGGGCGAUGGCUUCAUGUCCGGUUUGAAUCGCACUUGCCAAAACUGAAGUCAACAGCAAUCCUGCGGGUGAAAAACAAAUUACAGUCCUGCAAAAUGUUACGUUUUGUAAUUGUGUGUAUUCAAGCUAAGACAUCCCUUCCAACCUGAGGGCUUCAUUCCAUAAUGAAACCAUGUUAUGUCAGAUGACAGUUGACUGUGGUAUUAUUCAACCUGAAGUUUUUUUUUUAAGAGGUUGGUUUUUCUUAAACAUUUUGUCCGUUUAAUGAGCUUUCCUGCAGUGUUUCUGGGGAGACGGCAUUUCACACAAAGAGGAGAAGAUGUGCCAGCCUUUUUCCAAGGUAAUCCGAAAAAGCGUAUUAUGCUUCAGAACCUGUCUCAGGUUUAAGGGGAAAAAAAUCUGUCUAAUCCAAUGACUGUUAUUUUUAAACGCUCAAGACCAUCACAGCUUUGUUAAAACACUGUACAAACCUUUAAUAGAAUAAUUCCACAUCCACAAUAAACGUAAGAUCUGCAUCAUG
Lepisosteus oculatus (spotted gar) is the source of this 3252-nucleotide non-coding RNA. NCBI's taxonomy places the organism in Eukaryota, Metazoa, Chordata, Actinopteri, Semionotiformes, Lepisosteidae. The record is from RefSeq and is a predicted model, not a curated record.